This 1124-nucleotide long non-coding RNA is filed under the name Mus musculus (house mouse). RNAcentral describes it as "predicted gene 11963 (Gm11963)". Lineage: Eukaryota; Metazoa; Chordata; Mammalia; Rodentia; Muridae. The record is from RNAcentral.
CAAAGGCAGGGAGACUCUCCUGCCUGGCCGUGCUGGCUAGGGAACAGGCACGGGCAGCCGGGCACUGGCAGCCUGCCCCCGUGGGGGGUGGGGAUGAGUCUGAAGUCUGAAUGAGGAAAUCCAGAGACAGUGGGUUUUGAACAAGCGUCAUGAUGGAGGCCAAGGAGGGGCAAGCAAUGGGGGAUCAAGGACCAAGAGCGCUUUGUGAGAGACAAGGAAACAGGCUCUGAGAGAUUAAGCAACUCAUCCCACUUGCUCAACCAGCAUAUGUGGGAGACCUGACAACCCGCCCUGUGUGGCCGUUUCACAAGCCAACGCCCAGCCACAGGGGACGACUGUUCCUGGGACUGGAAGUGAUGAAGAGGAGCCAUGAUGGUUAAACUUCUUUAAAAGAAAGAAGACAAACUGGCUUUCCUUGAUGCCUUUGAACCUGAGUCCAGAAGACUUAGGGACAAUGGAUAGCUAAAAUUUAUUUAUAUCUGAAGUUGGGUGGCAGGGUGCACUCCAGAGGCAGAGGCAGAGGCAGGGGGAUCUAUCUCCGAGUCUGAGGUCAGCCUGGUCUACAGAUCGAGUUCCAAGACAGCCAGGGCUACAAAGAAAAAUCCUGCCUCAAAAAAUGGAAAAAACAAAACAAAACAAACAAAAUACAUUAAAACAAACAAACAAACAAACAAACUGGAUUUAUUCUCUGCCGCGGCUGGGAGUGGACACCUUUGUUCAGCAAAAUGAACCUUUUCCUGAUUGUGCACUUCCAGGCCCUGGGCAAGCCGACUCUAGCACUCUGCAAAACCCCACCUCCCAAAGGAGGGUUGAACUUCUUGGAACCCUUAAAAACUACCAGUGAACUUCAGGAAGUAACCCACGCAACUCUUUCCCAGAAGAGGUCAAUGGUCACAGAAUCGUAAGAAACACCACUCUGACCCCGGGACUUCCUGCCUCCACACUCGGAACAUCUCAAAGUUCAAACUGCUCAGGAACUGACAUCCGGCUGACAGACGGGGAGUGUCGCUCAGUGGUAGAGUGCUUUCCUACAUCGGGAGAGGCCCUGGCUCCUAUCUCCAACUCUGUAAAGAAAAGAUUAAUACUAUGAAACGAAAAUAAACCAGGCUUUAAAGAAAACAAAA